AUUUUUUUGUUCAUUAUUUUUCACUGCAGACGUUUCUCUUGCUUAUUUUCUUUACAGAAUUUCAAAUAUAGAAUAUCAAGGGUCUCUAGCUGCCGGGUCCGACACCAAUUGCGAAAAAAUUUGCUGAAUGAAUGUAAUAAUCGUCAUUUUUCGCCACUGAUGACGUCACGUCCUCGGAUGGCUGGCUGGCUGGCUGCUCUCUCUCUCUCCCAGUGUCUCCCUCUCUUGUAUGUAGUCAUUAGCACGUAAUGUCUGUGUAUGGUGGCCAGAACGAGGUGUGCAAAGAAGCAUAUGACUAAUUUGGUAUUGUUAUUGCAUAAAAUCGACAACUGGCAAGACCUUCAGGGGCAGACAUCCGCAGCAAAGCAGCAGCAGCCGCCACAUCGGAGAGGUAAAAAGAGCAAAAGCUUAACCAUUAUGUGGCGGCGUCGCAUGAAGUCAUCAGCGGCAGCAGCAGAAAAAGCGGCAACAGCCUGGAAAGAGACGAACAUAUGCUGAGAGCGAGAGAGAUCGUUAACCUUUAAGCUGGACAUGGGACUCGGCACAAGGUCGUUUCCUCCCGUGGUUAUGGCGCAUGAAAUAUGGUCUCGCGCAACAUGAAGUGAAGUGGAAGCGACGCCAUUUGUUGCAGUGGCAGCAGAACACAAAACCGCGUUGCCAAGCCAGCACCAGCAAGCAACAUCUGGUCUCGUCUCGGACCUGGGCUUGGGCUUGGCUUUAUAUCUCGUCCCACAGCCCACCUUCUUGAAAGUCUCCUACCAUGCGCGCUAAUCAGAGACCGGGGCUGGUUUUUUCACUGCAGUCAGGUACCUGAAGUAGCGCGCGUGGUGCUAGACACGAACAUCUGUGUGUGGCAUCAUCUUUUCUUCAGAAUACAAUAUAUAUAAUUUCAUGUGUCUCCCAUGUCUAUUGUACUUCAUCAGGUGCUCUGGUGUGUCCUGUAACCCGGCACAUGUUGAAGUACACUCAAUAUGAGGCGAAUUUCGUGCGAAACAAUCAGUGAUGUCUAAAUUUAUAAAUUGAGUAAACAUAAGCUUAAUCUCUAAUUGAUUGUUAAUUAAGACAUUUAAGGCUGUAUUUUUUUAUAGUUAAAUCUUCAAUAAAUAUAAAAUGUAUUAAAAUAAAUGCUUAAAUGUA
RNAcentral lists this long non-coding RNA (1137 nucleotides) under Drosophila guanche. The stretch from base 902 to 974 matches the Rfam family "mir-305 microRNA precursor family". The record is from RNAcentral. Lineage: Eukaryota; Metazoa; Arthropoda; Insecta; Diptera; Drosophilidae.